Molecule: ribosomal RNA, 402 nt
Filed under: uncultured bacterium
Lineage: Bacteria
Also listed under: 1 other name
Description: partial 16S ribosomal RNA
Rfam family: Bacterial small subunit ribosomal RNA
Source: RNAcentral
UGGGGAAUAUUGGACAAUGGGCGCAAGCCUGAUCCAGCCAUGCCGCGUGAGUGAUGAAGGCCCUAGGGUUGUAAAGCUCUUUCAACGGUGAAGAUAAUGACGGUAACCGUAGAAGAAGCCCCGGCUAACUUCGUGCCAGCAGCCGCGGUAAUACGAAGGGGGCUAGCGUUGUUCGGAUUUACUGGGCGUAAAGCGCACGUAGGCGGAUUGUUAAGUUAGGGGUGAAAUCCCAGGGCUCAACCCUGGAACUGCCUUUAAUACUGGCAAUCUCGAGUCCGGAAGAGGUGAGUGGAAUUCCGAGUGUAGAGGUGAAAUUCGUAGAUAUUCGGAGGAACACCAGUGGCGAAGGCGGCUCACUGGUCCGGUACUGACGCUGAGGUGCGAAAGCGUGGGGAGCAAACA